CACGUAGGGCGCGAGCGUUGUCCGGAAUUAUUGGGCGUAAAGAGCUCGUAGGCGGCCUGUUGCGUCCGCUGUGAAAGCCCCGGGGCUUAACCCCGGGUCUGCAGUGGAUACGGGCAGGCUAGAGGUAGGUAGGGGAGAAUGGAUUCCUGGUGUAGCGGUGAAAUGCGCAGAUAUCAGGAGGAACACCGGUGGCGAAGGCGGGUCUCUGGGCCGAUACUGACGCUGAGGAGCGAAAGCGUGGGGAGCGAACAGG
This 253-nucleotide ribosomal RNA is filed under the name uncultured bacterium. RNAcentral describes it as "partial 16S ribosomal RNA". It matches the Rfam family "Bacterial small subunit ribosomal RNA", at positions 524 to 776 of the family's 1533-position model. The record is from RNAcentral.